This 401-nucleotide ribosomal RNA is filed under the name uncultured Clostridium sp. RNAcentral's name for it is "partial 16S ribosomal RNA". It matches the Rfam family "Bacterial small subunit ribosomal RNA", at positions 1 to 400 of the family's 1533-position model. The record is from RNAcentral. Lineage: Bacteria; Bacillati; Bacillota; Clostridia; Eubacteriales; Clostridiaceae.
UUCGCCCUUGAGUUUGAUCAUGGCUCAGGACGAACGCUGGCGGCGUGCCUAACACCUGUAAGUCGAGCGAGAUGAUCCCUUCGGGGAGAUUCUAGCCUUGGAAGGGUGAGUAACACGUGGGUAACCUGCCUCAAAGAGGGGGAUAGCCUCCCGAAAGGGAGAUUAAUACCCCAUAACAUUAUUUCUUCGCAUGAAGAGAUAAUCAAAGGAGUAAUUCGCUUUGAGAUGGACCCGCGGCGCAUUAGCUAGUUGGUGAGGUAAUGGCUCACCAAGGCAACGAUGCGUAGCCGACCUGAGAGGGUGAUCGGCCACAUUGUUUUUUAGAUACGGUCCAGACUCCUACGGGAGGCAGCAGUGGGGAAUAUUGCGCAAUGGGGGAAACCCUGACGCAUUUUUUUUUU